GGAGUUGUGGCUCAGUGGUAGUGUGCUUACCUAGCACAUAUGAGGCACUGGGUUCCAUCCUCAGCACCA
This 69-nucleotide transfer RNA is filed under the name Marmota monax (woodchuck). Its description in RNAcentral is "tRNA.Ala". Lineage: Eukaryota; Metazoa; Chordata; Mammalia; Rodentia; Sciuridae. The record is from RNAcentral.